This is a long non-coding RNA of Brassica napus (rape), 1000 nucleotides long. RefSeq lists it as uncharacterized. The transcript is spliced from 3 exons. NCBI's taxonomy places the organism in Eukaryota, Viridiplantae, Streptophyta, Magnoliopsida, Brassicales, Brassicaceae. The record is from RefSeq and is a predicted model, not a curated record.
GAAACUUGCUCUAUAUUUAAAAAAUUAGUGACCCUACUCCUCUAUCUCACUCAUUUGUCGGCAAGACUAAACGACAAUUGACCAUCUCCAAUAUGUUCGAUGUAAACCAGCUCUUUUGAGAUUCUUACCCACAUGAUUCUUCUUUCUCUCUAUAGGAUCUUUAGUUUCAGUUUGUCUAAAUCUGCCUUCUUCUUCCUCUGUAAUGCAAAGAGAUGACUCGCUCAAGGAUCCAACACCCUCCUCGUCCGUGAUGAUGAGACGACACCGUUCUGGACGUGUUUUCUCCAUCUCCUCCUGCUCUCAUCAUUCUUCUUGUUGUCCAUGUCCUUGGAACCCGAUACAGCUCCAGAUACGAAAGACAUCAAUCAAUUCAACUCGCUUCUCCCUCAAGCCUUGAGACUCCAAGUGUCAAAAUAUAGGUGCAUGUCCCUCUUCCCACUCCUUAAUCCAUAUUUUAUAACCAGAAAAGGUGGUGGAUAGACUUAAUUUACAAUCGCUGGUGAUUUCAAAACAUCAGGGUCUGGAACAUUGAAGCAUAACUGAUUGAUUUUGGUGAAACGCAACUGGAGAGAAAAAUUGAUAUUGGCAUAAGGUGCUUACCAUAACAUCAUAGAUGAAACAAAUGAAAGUCCUUUGAAGGAGAGCGUAAGCAGCGAGACCCAUUUCACUGUUGUGACCCAAGAAAGCUUGAGCUACCACUACGCAGCCAAACGACAUCACUCUGAACAAAGACGAUGUUAUGAGCAAGAGAUUUUACCUGAUUGCUUCACACAGUUUUCAACAGGGAGCUUCUCUUAACUAUGUGGCCAUGCCUCUUUAUGUUUCAAAUACAUGGACGGCACCAGAUUGAAAGGUUAGCAUCAGAAUUUCUAAGUAGUUGUGUAAUUGUUUGGGACAGAUUCAAGCACCCCUGCUAUACUUUAUCUUACAAAUCACUCAUUAGGCUAAAAGUAAACAAUUGCGUUCACAAAAUAAAUCUUACUGAAAGUAUGUAAACAAA